GGGGAAGUAGCUCAAUGGUAGAGCACAUAAUCAUAUCAAUUGUUGGUACAAUUUCGGUACAAUUUCGAUACAAUUGUUUCAUGCAGAAACAAAGUUCGAGGUUCGAAUCCUCGCUUCUCCA
RNAcentral lists this transfer RNA (121 nucleotides) under Daucus carota subsp. sativus. It matches the Rfam family "tRNA". Rfam says of the family: Transfer RNA (tRNA) molecules are approximately 80 nucleotides in length. Their secondary structure includes four short double-helical elements and three loops (D, anti-codon, and T loops). Lineage: Eukaryota; Viridiplantae; Streptophyta; Magnoliopsida; Apiales; Apiaceae. The record is from Rfam by way of RNAcentral.